Molecule: ribosomal RNA, 431 nt
Filed under: uncultured Elusimicrobium sp.
Lineage: Bacteria; Pseudomonadati; Elusimicrobiota; Elusimicrobia; Elusimicrobiales; Elusimicrobiaceae
Description: bacterial SSU rRNA
Rfam family: Bacterial small subunit ribosomal RNA
Source: RNAcentral
AACGCGAAGAACCUUACCUGGGCUUGAACUACUGGUAGUAAGUCCUUGGAAACAGGGGCUGAUCCGCAAGGAAGCCAGCAGAGGUGCUGCAUGGUUGUCGUCAGCUCGUGUCGUGAGAUGUUGGGUUAAGUCCCGCAACGAGCGCAACCCCUAUCCAAUGUUGCUACUCCCGCAAGGGAGGCACUCUUUGGAAACUGCCUUCGAUAAGAAGGAGGAAGGUGGGGACGACGUCAAAUCCUCAUGGCCCUUAUGUCCAGGGCCACACACGUGUUACAAUGGCCGGUACAAUGGGAAGCAAUACCGCAAGGUGGAGCCAAACCCCUAAAGCCGGCCCCAGUUCAGAUUGUGGGCUGCAACUCGCCCACAUGAAGGCGGAAUCGCUAGUAAUCGCUGAUCAGCAGGCAGCGGUGAAUACGUUCCCGGGCCUUGUA